RNAcentral lists this ribosomal RNA (463 nucleotides) under uncultured bacterium. RNAcentral describes it as "SSU rRNA". It matches the Rfam family "Bacterial small subunit ribosomal RNA", at positions 26 to 518 of the family's 1533-position model. The record is from RNAcentral.
AGGAUUAACGCUGGCGGCGUGCCUAACACAUGCAAGUCGAACGAGGUAGCAAUACCUAGUGGCAGACGGGUGAGUAACACGUGGUCAACCUACCGCUUUGUGGGGGAUAACUAGCCGAAAGGUUAGCUAAUACCGCAUACGUCGCAGGCCGGCAUCGGUCGACGAUAAAAGGAGCAAUCCGCAAGGUGACGGGACCGCGUCCCAUUAGCUAGUUGGUGAGGUAAUGGCCCACCAAGGCUCCGAUGGGUAGCUGGUUUGAGAGAGCGACCAGCCACACUGGGACUGAGAUACGGCCCAGACUCCUACGGGAGGCAGCAGUGAGGAAUUUUCCGCAAUGGGCGAAAGCCUGACGGAGCGACGCCGCGUGUGGGAAGAAGGCCUUCGGGUCGUAACCACUGUCGAAGGGGAAGAUAUUGACGGUACCCUUGGAGGAAGCCCCGGCUAACUACGCGCCAGCAGCCGC